AUGGCGGCAGCGGCAGCCGUCGUCGGGGGCAUGGUCGCCUCGGGCGUCAUCAAGGUGGUGAUAAAACAGAUCGGAUCCGCCAUCGGCGGCAAGAUCAAGCUGCACAAGAACCUGAAGAAAGAUCUGCAGAAGAUGAAGAUGACGCUGGAGUCGGUGGAGGCCGCGCUCAGCGACGCCGAGAGGCGCUCCAUCAACGACAGCUCGGCGCUGCUGUGGGUGAACCGGCUCAAGGCCGCCAUGUAUGACAUCUCCGACAUGCUCGACGAUUUCGAAUCUGACACACAGUCCCGGGUCGGAGCUAUGAGGAAGAAGAUCAGUAUGCCGGACAAGAUGAAAAAGAUGCAAAAGCGUCUACAGAAGAUAACAGAAGACCAUCAGAACUAUCGUCUUCUGCCAGAAACUCGCAGCAAUGAGCCACAACUUCCUGAUAUCCGGGAAAAUGCAGGGACUAUGGUGGAAGCAGAAAUCAUCGGGAGGGCCGAGGAAAAACUGGAAAUCUUGGCUCGAUUAUCUGGGAGCACCACUGAACAUACCACCUUUGUUCCCAUAUGGGGCUUGGGAGGAAUUGGAAAGUCCACCUUGGCAAGAUUGGUUUACAAUCAUCCUGAGUUUGAAAAACACUCUCGGGUAUGGGUCUAUGUUUCCCAGAUAUUUGACUUGAAAAAAAUUGGCAACACUAUAAUAUCACAACUAUCAAGACAACAGAGCCAGCAGAUACUUGAUCUGCACAGUAUUAACAUUCGCCUUCAAGAGCUACUUGCUGAGAAGAAGAAUGCUUUGAUCAUUCUGGAUGACCUGUGGGAGAAGCGUCCUUCUCAACUAGAAGAAUUAAAGUCUAUGCUGAAGCAGAGUAAGGGGUGCAAGGUGAUGGUUGUAGUUACCACACGUGAUGAAGGGAUUGCAAAUGAAAUCUCCACUGUGCAGCCUUACAAAUUACCUCAAUUGUCAGAUGAGAUGUGCUGGGAAAUAAUGAGCCAAAAGAGUAAAUUCGAAACAAGGGACGACAAAGAACGGUUGGAGCCGAUUGGAAGGGAUAUUGCAAAAAAGUGCAAAGGCGUAGCUUUAGCUGCUCAAUCACUUGGACACAUUUUGAGGUCCAAGUCGUAUGGAGAAUGGAAUUCGGUCAGAACCAAUCAUAUCUGGAAUCUAUCUACUUCUACAGAUGCAUCAUCUAGUCAUGAAGUGCUUGGAUCCUUGUUGUUAAGCUACAACUUGAUGCCUCCAUAUUUAAAGUCGUGCUUUGCUUAUUGUGCAAUCUUUCCAAAGGGCCACAUAAUGAUUAAAGAUGAGUUAAUUCAUCAAUGGAUUGCUCUUGGAUUCAUGGAGCCAUCUAGUAUAUUCUCUUAUUGGCAACUCGGUGAGAGUUACAUUAUGCAGCUUCUGGAGAUGUCAUUUCUUCAACAUUCAAAGGCUAUUGUUGAAUGGUACGACAUAGACAAUAUUGUCACACUGUUCACAAUGCAUGACCUCGUGUAUGACCUCGCAAGGUCAGUCAUGGCUGACGAAUUUAAUUUGGCGGGCCCCAACUGCCGCUAUGCAUGGAACAUAGAUUCCGCGAAGCCACUAAAGUCAUCGACGACUUCACCUGAAAAGAUAAGGACGCUAAAUAUUGUGGGCGAUGAAACCUCAUGGCCGUCAUGGUACAAGUUCCAUCGUGAUGCAAUUGCACCAGCAAAGUACGUUCGCGUCUUGCAUUCAUCAGUCAGUUCAAAUAGAUUGGUUGCUUCUAUUGGUCAACUGAAGCAGUUGAGGUAUCUUAGUGCUCCAAAUAUCCGUGGUCGAGUGGAUCUCGGGUGUAUCGGUAUGCUUCAAAAAUUGAAUUAUCUCAACCUUCAUAAUUGUCAGGAAUUGUCAGCAUUGCCAGAGUCAAUUAGUGAAAUGGAAGGUCUGAUGUAUCUUAACUUAUCAGAUUGUGAAAAUCUGAAAGAACUCCCAAAUUCGUUUGCGAAUCUCAAAGAGUUGGUAUAUCUGAACUUAUCAAACAGUGAUAAUGUUAUAGGAUUACCCGAAGCUUUGGCUAACCUUACCAAACUCCAACAAUUAGAAUUAACAGCAUGUGAAAAUCUCAGAGGGCGUCCAGAAGUCAUCACCAAUCUCACCGAACUCCGCAAUCUGAGGCUAUCAAGGUGCAUGCAUCAUAUAUUUGACAGCUCAUCAACAGUUCAAACCGAGAGUUUCAUUGACAGUAUCUGUAGGCUUCCCAAUAUGGAGCACCUGGACCUGUCUUUUAAUGGCCAUCCUCUUAUUAGUAUACCAGAAAGUGCUAGCUGCCUCCGGAAGCUGGUACUUCACGGGUGCCGCCAAGUUGCCAGGCUUCCAGAAUGUGUGGCUAAAAUGGACCGUCAAAGCCUUUUUGGCUUGUUGCCACUAUUUUCUGUAACUACCGAUGAUGGUAAAUGUUACAGCAACCUUGGCUUUCUUGAGCAUGUAAAUCCUCACAAGCUGAACAUCAAGAAACUUGAAAAUGUGAAGUCCCCAGAAGAGGCACGGAGUGUAAGACUGAUUGAAAAACAUAGGAUUGAAGAAAUGUCAUUAAUGUGGAACCCACAAGCUGAGAGAUCUGUGGAUGACAUGGAGUUGCUGAGGGAGCUAGUGCCACCAACCACUUUGCAAAAGUUUGAGAUAUAUGGUUAUAUUAGUGCCAGCUUUCCAGACUGGGUAAUGAGUAUUGGCAAUUAUCUCCCUAAUCUUGACCGAAUGGUGAUGUAUGGUUUGCCCAACUGCAAAAGCCUUCCACCUCUCGCCCAACUACCACCAAACCUCCGGGUGCUUACUCUGGAAGAAAUGGAAAGCCUGGAAGAAUGGAACACAACAUACUGUAGCGGUGAGGAUGGUGUGAAUGAGCUCAUGUUCUGUAAGCUUGAGCAAGUGAACAUACAUUUUUGCCCCAAGUUGAGGAUAACACCACACCUUCCUAGAGCUGCAUCUUGGAGUAUACGCGGAAGUGAUAAUGUGCUCAUAUCAUGGGCAGGGAGUGUGUCACACAAUGAUGCUUCCUCAUCUUUUUCAGGAGUAUCUACUACUCUGAUAGUUGGAAGAAGCAAGGUGCCUCUGCACCAGUGGAGAUUGCUUCACCAUAUACCUGCCCUCAUUGCUUUGCACAGCUAUAAUUGCUGGGAUUUGACAAGCUCGCCAGAGAUCACCUUUGCCCAUUCAAAACUGUCGGAAUGGGUAGGAGAGUUGGCAUCUGUUCAGCAACUGACGAUAAACCAAUGCAUGACGCUAGAGGAAUUGCCCGGUAACAUGAGGCAACUCAAACAGCUGCAAUCAUUAAAACUAAAUAUCUGUUGUAGCUUGAGACAGCUGCCGCUGUGGUUAGGAGAACUUACCUCUCUCAAGAAACUUAUAAUUUGUAGCUGUUUUGCUAUCACGAUCUGCCAGACAGCAUACAACAGCUCACAAACCUCCAAGAAUUAA
RNAcentral lists this ribosomal RNA (3417 nucleotides) under Triticum aestivum (bread wheat). Its description in RNAcentral is "partial small subunit ribosomal RNA". Lineage: Eukaryota; Viridiplantae; Streptophyta; Magnoliopsida; Poales; Poaceae. The record is from RNAcentral.